GUGAGUAACGCGUAAAGAACUUGCCUCACAGCUAGGGACAACAUUUGGAAACGAAUGCUAAUACCUGAUAUUAUGAUUUUAAGGCAUCUUAGAAUUAUGAAAGCUAUACGCGCUGUGAGAGAGCUUUGCGUCCCAUUAGCUAGUUGGAGAGGUAACGGCUCACCAAGGCGAUGAUGGGUAGCCGGCCUGAGAGGGUGAACGGCCACAAGGGGACUGAGACACGGCCCUUACUCCUACGGGAGGCAGCAGUGGGGAAUAUUGGACAAUGGGCCAAGAGUCUGAUCCAGCAAUUCUGUGUGCACGAUGACGUUUUUCGGAAUGUAAAGUGCUUUCAGUUGGGAAGAAAAAAAUGACGGUACCAACAGAAGAAGUGACGGCUAAAUACGUGCCAGCAGCCGCGGUAAUACGUAUGUCACGAGCGUUAUCCGGAUUUAUUGGACGUAAAGCGCGUCUAGGCGGUUAUGUAAGUCUGAUGUGAAAAUGCAGGGCUCAACUCUGUAUUGCGUUGGAAACUGUGUAACUAGAGUACUGGAGAGGUAAGCGGAACUACAAGUGUAGAGGUGAAAUUCGUAGAUAUCUGUAGGAAUGCCGAUGGGGAAGCCAGCUUACUGGACAGAUACUGACGCUGAAGCGCGAAAGCGUGGGUAGCAAACAGGAUUAGAUACCCUGGUAGUCCACGCCGUAAACGAUGAUUACUAGGUGUUGGGGGUCGAACCUCAGCGCCCAAGCAAACGCGAUAAGUAUCCGCCUGGGGAGUACGUA
This 762-nucleotide ribosomal RNA is filed under the name uncultured Fusobacterium sp. Its description in RNAcentral is "bacterial SSU rRNA". It matches the Rfam family "Bacterial small subunit ribosomal RNA", at positions 106 to 886 of the family's 1533-position model. Lineage: Bacteria; Fusobacteriati; Fusobacteriota; Fusobacteriia; Fusobacteriales; Fusobacteriaceae. The record is from RNAcentral.